Molecule: ribosomal RNA, 425 nt
Filed under: uncultured Rummeliibacillus sp.
Lineage: Bacteria; Bacillati; Bacillota; Bacilli; Caryophanales; Caryophanaceae
Description: bacterial SSU rRNA
Rfam family: Bacterial small subunit ribosomal RNA
Source: RNAcentral
AGGGAAUCUUCCACAAUGGACGGAAGUCUGAUGGAGCAACGCCGCGUGAGUGAUGAAGGUUUUCGGAUCGUAAAACUCUGUUGUAAGGGAAGAACCAGUACGUCAGGCAAUGGACGUACCUUGACGGUACCUUAUUAGAGAGCCACGGCUAACUACGUGCCAGCAGCCGCGGUAAUACGUAGGUGGCAAGCGUUGUCCGGAAUUAUUGGGCGUAAAGCGCGCGCAGGUGUUUCUUAAGUCUGAUGUGAAAGCCCACGGCUUAACCGUGGAGAGUCAUUGGAAACUGGGAGACUUGAGUGCAGAAGAGGAAAGUGGAAUUCCAAGUGUAGCGGUGAAAUGCGUAGAGAUCUGGAGGAAUACCGAUGGCGAAGGCAGCCAUCUGGCCUAAUACUGACGCUGAGGUACGAAAGCAUGGGGAGCAAACA